GCACAGAGUUAGCCGUCCCUUCCUCUUUCGCUACUAUCAGCUCGCCAUCUUUUAAAUAGCAAGGUUUGAUCGCAAAUGACAGGGGUUUACGGGCCGAAGCCAUUCAUCCCCCACGCGGCGUCGCUCCAUCAGGCUUGCGCCCAUUGUGAAAAAUUCUCGACUGCUGCCACCCGUAGGUGUCUGGACCGUGUCUCAGUUCCAGUGUGGCUGGUCGUCCUCUCAGACCAGCUACCCGUCUUAGCCUUGGUGAGCCGUUACCUCACCAACUGGCUGAUAGGCCGCGGGCUCAUCAUGAAGCGUCAGGCCUUACGGUCCCCAACUUUAACAACCCGAAGAUGCCUCCAGGCUGUCACAUCCGGUAUUAGUCCCGCUUUCGCGGAGUUAUCCCAAACUUCAUGGCAGAUUACCCACGUGUUACGCACCCUUGCGCCGCUCUCACACCAGAAUAUUGCUACCCUGAUGUAAUCGCUCGACUUGCAUGUCUUAUCCACGCCGUCAGCGUUCGUU
RNAcentral lists this ribosomal RNA (507 nucleotides) under uncultured bacterium. RNAcentral's name for it is "partial 16S rRNA". The record is from RNAcentral.